RNAcentral lists this non-coding RNA (51 nucleotides) under Bacillus methanolicus MGA3. Lineage: Bacteria; Bacillati; Bacillota; Bacilli; Caryophanales; Bacillaceae. The record is from RNAcentral.
AGUGUUUAAAAUCGUCUCCCCAGCUUGAACGAACUCCGGGAAUAGCAGCAA